RNAcentral lists this long non-coding RNA (577 nucleotides) under Solanum tuberosum (potato). Its description in RNAcentral is "long non-coding RNA (STUB_LNC000160)". Lineage: Eukaryota; Viridiplantae; Streptophyta; Magnoliopsida; Solanales; Solanaceae. The record is from RNAcentral.
AGAUGUAACCCGAAGAACACCCGAUUACUUCCUAUGAUGCAAGUGGGCAAAUCUAUUGAUUUCUGUGCAGAAGGUCCUGUUAACUGCUUCAUAUGUUGUGAGCCUCUUACGAGCUUAUAGUUCUUCUGCUACAAUGGUGUGAGCGAAUGGUAUGGAAUGAAGCAUGUAAAUCAGGCAUGUGAUACUUCUUUCUUUCCAUUGUUGAAACCUCAUUAAGAUGCUGUGAAGAGAUGGUGAAACCAGUGACAGUUAGGGUGCAUGCAUCAUUUUUCCGCGAACAUUGUUCAACUCUUUUUUCCCUUUGAUCCUAUAUUCUUUUUUUUCUUUCUGUUAGUAGUAGAAAGGACAAUGAUCUGCUUACUCGAUACAUUUUGUCCCUUUACAAGGACAAUCACUAUCGUCUAAGCUCCGUAGAGGUAAACGAUAAUCAUUUUUACACCUUUCAAUGAGUGUUCGUGUAAUUUUCUAUUAGGUCAAGACUCUAUUUUGAUUUCUUAAAGGGGUUUUAUUCAAGUCUGACGGAUAUUUUUAGCUCAAAUUUUAUAGUUGAGUUUAAAACUCAAAUGUAUUUCGCGGC